UCUUUGGGUAUUUUGACUAUGUCAAUGUCGUGGGCUGAUUCUGUUUCUGCAGCCGAGAAUCCGGCUGGAGCUCCGUCUAAGUCAGCAUAUGUUCCACCACAUUUGCGAAACAGACCUUCAACUGAUCCUCCUGCACAGGCUUCGUAUGCUGGGGCUGCUGCAUCAUUAGGUAAUGACCAUAGUGGUUAUGGUGUCCCAAAUAUGGUUGGGAGUCGUUGGAGUGG
RNAcentral lists this unclassified non-coding RNA (224 nucleotides) under Hevea brasiliensis (rubber tree). Lineage: Eukaryota; Viridiplantae; Streptophyta; Magnoliopsida; Malpighiales; Euphorbiaceae. The record is from RNAcentral.